CCUACGGGAGGCAGCAGUGAGGAAUAUUGGUCAAUGGCCGUAGGCCUGAACCAGCCAAGUCGCGUGAGGGAUGACGGUUCUAUGGAUCGUAAACCUCUUUUGUCAGGGAGUAAAGUGUGCGACGUGUCGUGUUUUGUAAGUACCUUAUGAAUAAGGAUCGGCUAACUCCGUGCCAGCAGCCGCGGUAAUACGGAGGAUGUGAGCGUUAUCCGGAUUUAUUGGGUUUAAAGGGUGCGGAGGCGGACUGUCAAGUCAGCGGUAAAAUUUCGGGGCUAAACCCCGUCUUGCCGUUGAAACUGGGGUGCUUGAGUGUGCUAGAAGCAUGCGGAAUGCGUGGUGUAGCGGUGAAAUGCAUAGAUAUCACGCAGAACCCCGAUUGCGAAGGCAGCAUACC
Molecule: ribosomal RNA, 394 nt
Filed under: uncultured bacterium
Lineage: Bacteria
Description: partial 16S ribosomal RNA
Rfam family: Bacterial small subunit ribosomal RNA
Source: RNAcentral